RNAcentral lists this ribosomal RNA (299 nucleotides) under uncultured cyanobacterium. RNAcentral describes it as "partial 16S ribosomal RNA". It matches the Rfam family "Bacterial small subunit ribosomal RNA", at positions 28 to 346 of the family's 1533-position model. Lineage: Bacteria; Bacillati; Cyanobacteriota. The record is from RNAcentral.
GAUGAACGCUGGCGGUAUGCUUUACACAUGCAAGUCAUACGGAAGUUAGUUUCGGCUAACUUCAGUGGCGGACGGGUGAGUAACACGUGAGAAUUCGCCUUUAGGAGGGGGAUAACAGGGGGAAACACCUGCUAAAACCCCAUAUGCCUUCGGGUCAAAAGAGUAAUCUGCCUAAAGAGAAGCUCGCGGCUGAUUAGCUAGUUGGUGGGGUAAAGGCCUACCAAGGCGACGAUCUAUAGCUGGUCUGAGAGGACGAUCAGCCACACUGGGACUGAGACACGGCCCAGACACCUACGGGU